GACAGAGGGGGAGAGCGUUGUCCGGAGUCACUGGGCGUAAAGCGCGCGCAGGCGGCAACCUCAGUGUCGUGUGAAAGCCCCCGGCUCAACCGGGGGAGGCCAUGGCAAACUGGGUAGCUCGAGCUGCGGAGAGGCCCCUCGAAUUGCCGGUGUAGCGGUGAAAUGCGUAGAGAUCGGCAGGAAGACCAAUGGGGAAGCCAGGGGGCUGGGCGCAGGCUGACGCUGAGGCGCGACAGCGUGGGGAGCAAACCGG
Molecule: ribosomal RNA, 253 nt
Filed under: uncultured bacterium
Lineage: Bacteria
Description: partial 16S ribosomal RNA
Rfam family: Bacterial small subunit ribosomal RNA
Source: RNAcentral